GGACAGAUAGCUCAGUGGUAGAGGUAUGUUGAUAAUGUCUCACACAGUAAUCCACGAAUGCUAACAAACGUAUCAGCGAGGGAUUGCAGAUCCCUAGGUCGCGUGUUCGAUCCACGCUCGGUCCU
Non-coding RNA from Ilyonectria destructans, 125 nucleotides. The record is from the annotation of a GenBank genome assembly. Lineage: Eukaryota; Fungi; Ascomycota; Sordariomycetes; Hypocreales; Nectriaceae.